AGCUCCAAUAGCGUAUCUUAAAGUUGCUGCAGUUAAAAAGCUCGUAGUUGGAUCUCGGGAUCGAGCUGACGGUCCGCCGCGAGGCGAGCUACCGUCUGUCCCAGCCCCUGCCUCUCGGCGCCCCCUCGAUGCUCUUAGCUGAGUGUCCCGCGGGGUCCGAAGGUUCUACUUUGUGGGUUUUCUUCUCUGAACUGGGGCCAUGAUUAAGAGGGACGGCCGGGGGCAUUCGUAUUGUGCCGCUAGAGGUGAAAUUCUUGGACCGGCGCAAGACGGACGAAAGCGAAAGCAUUUGCCAAGAAUGUUUUCA
This 307-nucleotide ribosomal RNA is filed under the name uncultured eukaryote. Its description in RNAcentral is "SSU rRNA". It matches the Rfam family "Eukaryotic small subunit ribosomal RNA", at positions 587 to 972 of the family's 1831-position model. The record is from RNAcentral.